CUGCACAACUCCAGGGAGAGUGUGCAUUGGUUUUCAGCAGUCCACUCCAUAAUCAUAUGAAUUGGAGAGAUAUAACUUGGACAUCUCUGGAGAGAUCCACUAGAUGCCUCCCCUACAGAAAUUGAGGACCUGCCAAGGAUCUCA
This 144-nucleotide long non-coding RNA is filed under the name Pogona vitticeps (central bearded dragon). Its description in RNAcentral is "lncRNA (ENSPVIG00000001798.1)". Lineage: Eukaryota; Metazoa; Chordata; Lepidosauria; Squamata; Agamidae. The record is from RNAcentral.